RNAcentral lists this ribosomal RNA (1686 nucleotides) under Sorubim lima. RNAcentral's name for it is "partial 16S ribosomal RNA". The stretch from base 99 to 1568 matches the Rfam family "Bacterial large subunit ribosomal RNA". Lineage: Eukaryota; Metazoa; Chordata; Actinopteri; Siluriformes; Pimelodidae. The record is from RNAcentral.
GCUAAACAGCUAGCUUAACCAUUUAAAUAAUUAACACAACAUUAAAACAUUUAACACAACCCCUACGCAUCAAACCAAAACAUUCUACCGCCCUAGUAUGGGAGACAGAAAAGGCACAACCUUAAAGCAAUAACAAAAGUACCGCAAGGGAACGCUGAAAGAGAAAUGAAAUAAAUCAUCAAAGCACAACAAAGCAGAGAUUAACCCUCGUACCUUUUGCAUCAUGAUUUAGCUAGUAUCAUUGAGCAAAGAGUACUUUAGUUCAAACCCCCGAAACUAAGUGAGCUACCCCGGGACAGCCUAUCAAUUAGGGCCAACCCGUCUCUGUGGCAAAAGAGUGGGAAGAUCCCCGGGUAGAGGUGACAGACCUACCGAACUUAGUUAUAGCUGGUUGCCUAAGAAAUGAAUAGAAGUUCAGCCUGCACUCCUCAACUCACACACAUUUUAUAAAACACGAGUCAGAGCAAGACGCAAGAGUUAAUCAAAGGAGGUACAGCUCCUCUGAAACAGGACACAACCUUAACAGGAGGUUAAAGAUUAUAUUACCCAAGAUACGCCGCUUCAGUGGGCCUAAAAGCAGCCACCCUAGUAGAAAGCGUUAAAGCUCAAGCGGACUAAAAAUCUAUUAUCCAAAUAUUUAAUCUUAAACCCCUAACCAUAUUAGGCCAUCCUAUGCACACAUAGAAAAGAUGCUGCUAAAAUGAGUAAUAAGAAGGAAUCCCCUUCUCCCCAGCCUACGUGUACGCUAGAUCGACUCCCACUAGCAAUUAUCGAACCCAAUAAAAGAGGGCAAUGUGUUUAUAUCAAAUAUCAAGAAAACCCCACACAACCCUAAUCGUUAACCCCACACCGGAAGGCUAAAAAUUGAGGAAAGACUAAAAGAAAAGGAAGGAACUCGGCAAACACAAGCCUCGCCUGUUUACCAAAAACAUCGCCUCCUGCAAAAAUUCAACGUAUAGGAGGUCUUGCCUGCCCAGUGACAAGUUUAACGGCCGCGGUAUUUUGACCGUGCAAAGGUAGCGCAAUCACUUGUCUUUUAAAUGAAGACCUGUAUGAAUGGUGGAACGAGGGCUUAACUGUCUCCCCUUUCAAGUCAAUGAAAUUGAUCUGCCCGUGCAGAAGCGGACAUACAAAUACAAGACGAGAAGACCCUUUGGAGCUUUAGAUACAAGAUCACCUAUGUCAAGGACUACUAACUAAGUCAAACUAAAUAGCAACCUGAUCCUAAUCUUUUGUUGGGGCGACUACGGGAAAAAACAAAGCUCCCACGAGGAUUGGGGCUACAACCCCAAAACCAAGAAAGACAUCUCUAAGUCACAGAACAUCUGACCAUAAAGAUCCGGUUAUAUACCGACCAACGGACCAAGUUACCCUAGGGAUAACAGCGCAAUCCCCUUCCAGAGUCCAUAUCGACAAGGGGGUUUACGACCUCGAUGUUGGAUCAGGACAUCCUAAUGGUGCAGCCGCUAUUAAGGGUUCGUUUGUUCAACGAUUAAAGUCCUACGUGAUCUGAGUUCAGACCGGAGUAAUCCAGGUCAGUUUCUAUCUGUAAUGCUACUCUUCCCAGUACGAAAGGACCGGAAAAGAAGGGCCCAUGUUACAAACACGCCCUACCCCAACUUAAUGACACCAACUAAAUUAAACAAAGGGAAAGCACAAACCCUAAUCAAGAUAAGAUUAUUAAGA